AUAUUGGUCAAUGGAUGCAAGUCUGAACCAGCCAUGCCGCGUGCAGGAAGAAGGCCUUCUGGGUUGUAAACUGCUUUUGCCGGGGGAUAAAAUUCCCAUGCGUGGGAAAUUGAAGGUAUCCGGUGAAUAAGACACGGCUAACUACGUGCCAGCAGCCGCGGUAAUACGUAGGUGUCGAGCGUUGUCCGGAUUUAUUGGGCGUAAAGCGCCCGCAGGCGGCUUGCCAAGUUCGAAGUGAAAUCUCCCGGCUUAACUGGGAGGGUGCUCCGAAAACUGGCAGGCUUGAGGCAUGGAGAGGGAUGCGGAAUUCCCGGUGUAGUGGUGAAAUGCGUAGAUAUCGGGAGGAACACCAGUGGCGAAGGCGGCAUCCUGGCCAUGUCCUGACGCUCAGGGGCGAAAGCGUGGGGAGCAAAC
RNAcentral lists this ribosomal RNA (414 nucleotides) under uncultured bacterium. RNAcentral's name for it is "bacterial SSU rRNA". It matches the Rfam family "Bacterial small subunit ribosomal RNA", at positions 361 to 773 of the family's 1533-position model. The record is from RNAcentral.